Molecule: long non-coding RNA, 1087 nt
Organism: Hordeum vulgare subsp. vulgare (domesticated barley)
Lineage: Eukaryota; Viridiplantae; Streptophyta; Magnoliopsida; Poales; Poaceae
Exons: 2
Source: RefSeq, a predicted model, not a curated record
AGAAAACGAGUAGCCAACAAUUGGAUUGUUUCCUUCCCUAGGAAAGAAACUCUGCAUUGGAUCGCACGCGCAUGAUUUCCUCUCCACCUCCCCCGCCCCCUGUGACACACCUCUGCCUUCUCUUUCCGCUUGUUUCCCCCUCUCGCUCAAGAAGAUUCAUGGGCCAUGGCUCUGCCUCUUCUUCAUCUUUGUGCGGAUCUGGGCGACGGGCAGCUUCGUCUUUGUGCGGAUCUGGGCGACGGACGACCUCCCUAAAACGAGGAAUCUCCCUGGCAUGAGGAAUCUCGCUGGGGUGAUAUCCAAAUGCGUCGAGGAGGAGGCGAGGAAGAUGGCGUCCACCACAUGGCGCGGCCACCCAGCGCUGGAGAACGGAGACGGUGACGCUCGAAGAGGACGACGACCGCGCCGGCAGACAAGGGGUGGUGGUGGAGGCCCUCCUGUUCUUCAGGUUCUUUGUUGAUUUGUUCGAUACCGGUGUUGUUAAGCAGCAAGGUACUUUGAUUUACUUGCUUUGCUAUUUCCUCGUAUGUAUUCAUGUUGCCUGUUUUACCUAUCUUUCUAUUUGUGGGCUUCCGAUCUCUUUAGAGAAACCGUGUCUGUAAUGCCCCGGCGGUGCUAGGGUUCGCGGGAGAGGAAGGGGAUGAGGAUCAGAGAGAGGGAGUGGGUGAGGACGAGAGAAAAGGGAGGGGGUUGAUCUCAAUUCAUUCAUCAUGCCCUGAUCGGAUCUCGACACUCAUUUAAGUAGCUUCUCGCUCGCCAGACCAAUACUCACACACACACUACACUUACAUGGGCCGUGGCCCAACACCCGACUCGUUGCACGCCACUUCACUAGUUGUACGCUUCAGGUUUAGUUAACUAUUAAACCUGAACCUGAACCUAAAGGCGUUAUAGUUCCCUUCUUUAUUUAUGGUUACCAUGGUUCUUUGCUUCCUGCUUCUUGCUUUGGGAGGGACAUGCACAUUUACGUUCAUGUCCAUGUUUGUAUGGUUUGCCCAAUUCUCAGUACACUGUGUUACAUGUUCAGGCCAUUGCUUUGGGCAAAAUGUCUAUAAUCCAGACGCCAUAUUACUUGUUGCUUCUUGCU